CACGUAGGGCGCAAGCGUUGUCCGGAAUUAUUGGGCGUAAAGAGCUCGUAGGCGGUCUGUUGCGUCUGCUGUGAAAACUCGGGGCUUAACCCCGAGCCUGCAGUGGAUACGGGCAGACUAGAGGUAGGUAGGGGAGAAUGGAAUUCCCGGUGUAGCGGUGAAAUGCGCAGAUAUCAGGAGGAACACCGAUGGCGAAGGCAGGUCUCUGAGCAUUAACUGACGCUGAGGAGCGAAAGCAUGGGGAGCGAACAGG
RNAcentral lists this ribosomal RNA (253 nucleotides) under uncultured bacterium. Its description in RNAcentral is "partial 16S ribosomal RNA". It matches the Rfam family "Bacterial small subunit ribosomal RNA", at positions 524 to 776 of the family's 1533-position model. The record is from RNAcentral.